CACCUAAGUAAAUUAAACUAAAAGAAACAACUGGCUCAAGUGACAACUAAAAUUUAGAUGAACCAGAUUUUUAAUGAGUUUCUCAAAUGAGCAGAGGAGUGAUACAAUCAUCAUUCAGUCCAAAUUGCUAGGCUGGGACCCAACUUCGAACCCCCAAGGCUGGUGCCUUUGAGAAGUCGCACAUGCCCACAUGAGAAAAUACAUAUAUUUAGACGAUUCUUUUGGAUUUUUUUUUUAAGUAUGAGGCAUAUUCCAUUUGGGAUUCUUCGCAGUAAUUAAGAUUUGUGGAAGGGUGAAUUUUAGAAAUAGGAGCCCUUCAAAUGUUUUGUUGGCAAUGUGGGGAAAGGAUAUUUGCAGAUGACUGUGUGAUGAAACAGAAUUACGAGCUCCUGGAGGGGAGGCCGCUCCUUCGAGAGCCGUCUAAUGCAUUAUCAUAAAGCCCUGGGGAGAGUCUUCUGGAUUGUUCCUUAACAGCAAGCACACACAAGCCAGACAAGUCGUUUGUGCAGAAAGGUCAAGGGUGUCAGGGAAUCGUCUCCAGGCGAGCAAAGCUGCACGGGGUGGCCCCUGCUCUGGCCUCACGUGGUGCCUCUGGCCGCCUUCCCAGCCGCCUGCCAAUGGGCUGACACCAGAUUCAAGGAAGAGUUCCAUUUUCUUAAUUCCAGCACCUUGGCUUCCCAUCUCCACGCUCAUGGGUAACUGAGGGCGUAAGAGGAGCUCUCAGGUUCUCUGCCUUUCCCCCUCUCCUCGGAUUCCAUCCAACCAGGGUCGUGAAGCCCCCCUGGGACGCAUGAAGUGCCGACGGCAUCUCUGAUAGAACCAUCCAGCCCAUCUGUGCUCGGACAGACUCCUGUCAUCUCUCUGGAGCCCGGCGAGGCUUUACUGUCCACCCACUUGGUCUCCGCGAGCGCAAAGUCCUCCUGGUCCUCACCGUGGAAUGGCCUCCCCGAGGCUGGGGUUCUCAGGAAGCCUACUUUCAUGGGGAAGGGGAUUGCCUCCCCAGAAUGCCCCCCCCACCCCAGGACCUGAGGCUCUGCUGCAGAUGAAAGUCUGGCCUUGUUGGCACCUGUCAGGGGCGCGUGCACGGAGCAUCUGAAGCAGAUUCAACUUGGCACACAGGUGCUUUGCUCCUAAGGAUAGUUUGAAUAUACGGGGUUUGGGAAAUUGUGCCAAAACCACAAAAUGAAUCAGCUCUCUCUGAUGAAAUCAUCUGAUCUUCUUCCUCAGGAACAUGCCAGGAGGAAGUUCUUGCAGAAGAACAUCUUCUUAGCAGACUGACAGUGGUGUUGAACAACACUCUCAUCCACUCCAUCAUCUGGUCUAAAUGCUUCUGUUCCCAUGUGACAGGACAAAACCAAGAUGUGGAAUCCUCCGCACAGAGAGAGCACGAUUUCAAAAAUUACACAUCUAAACAAGCUGUUCUGGAAGCUGGAGGUCAGAAAUCUAGGUGUCGAAAGGCCAUGUCCCGUCCGAAGGCUCAGGGAAGCCUCCUUCGCUGUCUCUCCCAGCUUCGGGCCAUUCCUGGUGAUCCCUGGGGUCCCUGGGCUCGUAGAUGCGGCCCCCGCGCCACGUCUGCCUGCAUCGUCACGUGGCCUCCUUCUCUGCGAGCUGGGCUCCUCUGUGUCUCCGUCCAAAAUUUCCCUUCCCAUAAGGACACCAGUCGCUAGGGGCCCACCCUGAUCCAGGAUAACUUCAUCUGAACUUGAUUGUGUUGACAGAGACUCGAUUGCCAAAUAAGGUCACACUCAUAAGUACCCAGGGGUUAGCGCCUGAACAGACCUUUCUGGGGGAUACAGUUCAACCACCCACAGCAAAAGGACAAGCAUAGAAUUAAAAGGUGGACAGAUUGGGAGCCUCCGUAGCAGCUGGGGCUUCAGCUCGUGGCCCUUCCUGAUUCACUGAGGGGGCCGCCGCUUUGCUCUCACGUGGGGUCGUGAGCCAUGCGCAGACAUGGUGGGGGACAGGUGUCCUGACCGGUUAGCAGUGUGUCCAGACGUGCUGUGGACAUGGGAGAGGGGAUGGCAGCCUGUGUGCAGCUGACCUGCCAACCUGGUGCAUUGUUUCUUGGCUAAGCUAUUCACUUACGAGUGUUACACACCGUAUUCAUGAAGUGAACCAGGAUCUCAAUCCCCAUAUUCCAAGCCAAGCUCUUGACUUAAAUCUGAUUUUACCCCAGCUCCCAACAAAGAGUCGUGAUGUUGUGCAAACGAUGACUCACCUAGCCAGUGCCCCCGGGAUUCGUAGGGCCAUGGAGAGGCAUCCAUAGAAAGAGCAAUUUUCAAAACAAGAUGUGUGCUUUCUGAAAUCACAUCAUAAAUCCUUGACCGGGAUGCUAAGAAAUUUAAAAGUUUCAGGGAAGGGAAAACAGAAUUGUCUUUCCUUUACUCUUACACAUUACCUUAUGCUCCAUGGUUAAUAAGAAGCCCUGACAAAGGAAGAAAUGUUAUGUCACUUGUCCCUUAAUUUUGUGAGUCUUGUUCAUAGAUUUCACCUCCAAUCAUGCGAAUAUAAGAUGAAACUUCUAGAAUAUCAGGGUCAUUGUAUUUGUCUGCUCAGCCUGUUGUCACAAGGUGCCACAGACGUGGGGGGUGACACCACAGAAAUGUAUUUGUGGCACUUCUGGGGGCUGGAAGUGCGCAAGGUCAGGCUGGGAGGAUGGAUUUCUUCUGUGGCCUUUCCCCUUGGUGGUCUUCUCGUUGCACCCUCGCGUGCUCUUUGCUGCGUGCGUGCGUCCACGAAUGUCUCUUCCUCCUUAUAAAGGAUGCCAGGCCCAUUGCAUCCGGGCCCCAGCAUUAUGACUUCAUGUGACCUUAAUUAUCUCUUUGAAGGCCCUGUCUCCAAAGAGCAGUGCAUUCUGACGUCCUGAGCGUUAGAGCUUCUAUCCAGGGAUUUGAGGGGGACACAGUUCAGCUCAUAACAGUUUCAGAGGACCUUGCAGACAAAACUAGGCAGCUACUCUUUUCUAGAAGACUGUGCAUUUUGCAAUUAGUUGAGUGAAGCAAGUCUCUGGUAGCAGAUUGAAAUUUUCUGUUUCAGGGGCUUAACAGAUCGGAGGUUGCUUUCUCCUUAUGUCACCUGGUCAGUGAGGGUUAAUGGGAGGUCACUUGAGACCCUGGCUGAUGGAGUCUUCCAGAGUGGUGUCUGCACCUUAGGGAACGUGAGUCCCCGUGUGGCCGUGGCAAGGACAGCACGUAGACAAGUCAUGCUCACAUGUCCCCUGGACGUGACACAUGGCUCUUCUGGCCACUUAGCCCCAGGGCCUGGGAAAUGUGGGGAAGUACGAUCACUGAACACAGGCCCCUGUGCUACAGCCUGAUAGGGCAGGAGAAUCUAAACCUUUGCUCUAGGUCAUGAUGAACCCAAGUCAUAUUUUGCUCUCUAUAACCUGUCUGUGGUGGGAGGGAUAAAAAAAAAUGAAUGAAACAUAAAAAGAAAAAUAUUUGUGUGUUAAAAACUCCCAAAGUGUUGUCAUAGUGCAUUUUAUUCUGUGAUUUGUCUUCCCAACAGCACUGAAUAAAAGGCUCCCUUGUGAGCUACCCAGGAUAUAGCAACAAGACUCAACUCCAGACUUCAAGGAGCUCUCAGUCUAGAGUUAAGAAAGCCAAGAAUGUGGCCAGAACUAUCCAGAUGAAUGUAGAAGUCACUCUAGGUAGAGGGAAGCUGCUGAUGGCUUUCUGGGAAGACGUCUGGGUAGAUGCCUAACACUUGUGGGCAGGAAAUUCCAAGGGUUUGGGGAGCUGUGAGCCAGGAAUCUGCGGGAAGACCAAGAUAUGUAUUUAUUAUAAAUCAUAACAAGACAGUACGUGUGAGAGUGAGACCGAGUGUGUCUGCGUGUGCUGGUGUGGGUGUCCCCUACUCCGGGCCCUGUGGAGCUGGACCCCUCCUUCCACCCCUGCACGUCCAUCCGCACCUGCAUGGCCAUCCUGGGCUCCUGGGCCAUCUAUGAAGGUGAGAGGAAACAAGAGGGCAAGUGCAGGGGGAUCAGGAUUCCAGACAUGACUUCAGUAGAGUUGCAGCUGAUUGGUUUCAUCUCUGUCUCCACCCCACACCUCCCUCUCUCUUCCUCUAACUCCCUUAAAAACACCGUAUUGAGGUAAAUUGAAACAGAAUUGUGUAAUUGUUUUUUUGGGUUCCUUCUGAGGUUAAGCCAGAUGUAGUAGUUGUUGGGACUCAUCUUCCUAAAUUAAAAGAGCAUCUGAGGAAAUAGAAUCCUUAUAUGACUCUGUCCUACCUCGUAACAGCUACACAGAGAAUAAACCCACUGUUGUUCAUUUGUUCCUUCUAGCUCUAAAAACUGAAUUCCAGAUUUCGGAAUAGCUAAUACAAUUAUUUAAGUAAUGAGGUAAAAACAUAUAAACACACAAAACCCCAGCUGGGCCCAGGAUUCCUCUUAAGGAACUACUUUCCUUGAAGGGUUAUAUGAGGAUUAAACGAAUAGAGGAUGUGAAAUAAUGCCCAUAUGGCCAGUCUGUAUUUGGUGUGGGCUGUUGUUUGGGGAGCUUGCCCCACAUAGCCAGAAGAGGAGGGGGGACGUGAGCAAGAGGAAGAGAAUGAGUGAGGGGGGGAAGGCAGGUCUGGAAGGGAGGCAAGAGGACGUCAUGGGUUUGGGGUAACCCAGCAACAUUCUAGAAAACCGGCGUAAGCAGUUCAUCUGGACUUCGGUGUGUUGAAAUCAUUAAAUUCUGUCCCCUGUUUCUCAUUUUCCACCCAAUUGUUGUGAACAUUGGUAAAAACCAGGCUAGGCCUCCAGAUACUUUGGGUGAAUGGUUUUCUUGAUUUGUGUCACCUGUUCAGUGAUGUAGGAAUCGGGGUACGUAUUUAUAAAGGAAGAGCUGAUUAUAUUAUGUAUUAUAAAGGAAGAACUGUGCAGUUUUGAGGAGGACUUUGAACUUCCACAGACCAUGGCAUUGGACGUCAUCCAUUAUUCCUGGAUCUCAUGGCAUCGUGUUUGGAUUACACUUCUGUGCCCAUACACCAGUGCAGAUCGAAGGCCGCGUUAGGGGUUGCCAGCAGGAAAAUGGGUUCCAGGGAUAACAAGGUGAGUGGAUGUGACACACUGAUGCGCGCUGGAAAUGGAACUGGGCGAGUUCACAUGCGCGAGGAGGUGGACAGAUGAUCACCCUUCACUUUUCCGCUGAGCCAAGAAGAGCCAAGUCGUCCUAAGCAAACGCUAAGCAGGUUGCCCAUGUGGUGAGACCUUGCCCGGAGGACCAGGCACUGCAGAGCCACUGCCCCAUGCAAAAGGGUUGGGAGUUGGUUGGUGUAAGGGGAGGCUCACCUGUUCUAGAAGGAGGUUCCACCCAAUUCUAGAACAGGGCUAACAUGUCUACCCCCAUGUCCCUCUCCUUUUAAUUCCAAGUUUUACAAAGACACCAAAACAAUUUCAUGGUGACUGAUUCACUAAGAAAGGGACUACACACACACACACACACACACACACACACACAUUUUUGCUUAUAUACAUAUAUAUGUAUUUGCUUAUGUGUUAUACGUACUAUAUACACUCGCCUCUUGUUCUCUCAGACUGGACUUCCCAUUGUUGUUCACUUGCCUGUUGUCUGCUUCCACCUUCAGGAUAUAAUUGCUAUUUCUAGAAGAGACCUUGUGUAUUGUGUUCACUACUGAAGCUCCAGGGCAUACGCUAUAAACCGAAUAUUUGUGUCCCUCCAAAAUUCACACCUGGAAAUCUGGUAUUUGAAGUUGGGAACUUCAGGAGACGAUUUGGUCAGGAGGUCAGAGCCCUCAAGAAUGGGACCAGAGGCCCUCAUAAAAGGGACCCCAGAAAGCUCCCUUGCCCUUCCUCCCGUGUGAGGACACAGGGAGAAGGCAGCUGUCUGUGAACCAGGCAGUAGAACCUCACCACACACCUGAUCAACUGGUGCCUUGAUCUCGGACUUCCAGCCUCCUGAACCAUGAGAAAUAAAUUUCUAUUGUCUACGAGCCACCGGUUGAUAGCACUUCUGUUAGAGCAGCCCCAGAACCAACUAAGACAACACAGAACAAUGCCCGGCACCCAGCAGGGAAUCAAUAUGUACUUGUUGACUAAGUAAAUGGAUGAAGGGAUGACAGUUCUGGGGUUGACUUGGGUCCCACCACGACUGUGGUUACACAUGGGGGCACUUUGUGGAGCAUA
Molecule: long non-coding RNA, 6133 nt
Organism: Canis lupus familiaris (dog)
Lineage: Eukaryota; Metazoa; Chordata; Mammalia; Carnivora; Canidae
Exons: 5
Source: RefSeq, a predicted model, not a curated record